AUUCAAUUAAUUCUAUUUUUAGUUACGAAGAAAUAGGACUCUUUAUAAUUUAUUCUACAAAAAUAUUCCUUUUGUUUUUCUAGGUCAAAAUACUGCCUGAUUCCUUUACCAAGUGGAUCAAUCUUUUUGGCACUAUGUCUGUUAAAUCAACAAAGAUUUUUGCGACUCUACUAUGUUCACAUGCUGGUGAUACUGCCCUGGACAGACAUGCAUGGCUCUUGCUUUCCUGGAGCAGACAUUACAGUGGGUAAGAGAGAGAAAAUAAAUAACAAGCAUUCAAGAAAAUGUCAAUAUGUUUUCAGGCAAUAGAGAUAAAAGAGAG
Molecule: long non-coding RNA, 322 nt
Filed under: Homo sapiens (human)
Lineage: Eukaryota; Metazoa; Chordata; Mammalia; Primates; Hominidae
Description: HSALNT0297139
Source: RNAcentral